Molecule: ribosomal RNA, 333 nt
Filed under: uncultured Leptolinea sp.
Lineage: Bacteria; Bacillati; Chloroflexota; Anaerolineae; Anaerolineales; Anaerolineaceae
Description: bacterial SSU rRNA
Rfam family: Bacterial small subunit ribosomal RNA
Source: RNAcentral
ACAGGUGCUGCAUGGCUGUCGUCAGCUCGUGUCGUGAGAUGUUCGGUUAAGUCCGCUAACGAGCGCAACCCUCGCUGUGUGUUACAAGUGUCACACGGUACUGCCGGUCUUAAGCCGGAGGAAGUGGGGAUGACGUCAAGUCAGCAUGGCCUUUAUGUCCUGGGCUACACACACGCUACAAUGGCCAACACAAUAGGUUGCUAAGCCGCGAGGUGGAGCCAAUCCUCAAAGUUGGUCUCAGUUCAGAUUGCAGGCUGCAACCCGCCUGCAUGAAGAUGGAGUUGCUAGUAACCGCAGGUCAGCUAUACUGCGGUGAAUACGUUCCCGGGGCUU